RNAcentral lists this ribosomal RNA (2070 nucleotides) under human gut metagenome. RNAcentral's name for it is "bacterial LSU rRNA". It matches the Rfam family "Bacterial large subunit ribosomal RNA", at positions 3 to 2108 of the family's 2925-position model. The record is from RNAcentral.
UUAAGCAAAAAAGAGCGCAGGGUGGAUGCCUUGGCACUAAGAGCCGAAGAAAGACGUGAUAAGCUGCGAAAAGCUGCGGGGAGAUGCAAAUAAUCCUUGAUCCGCAGAUGUCUGAAUGGGGAAACCCGGCUGGAAGGACUCCAGUCAUCCAUACGCCAAUCCAUAACGUAUGGAAGGGAACCCGGUGAACUGAAACAUCUAAGUAGCCGGAGGAAGAGAAAGAAACAUCGAUUUUGUUAGUAGCGGCGAGCGAAAGCGAAAGAGGCCAAACCGGAGUGCGUGCACUCCGGGGUUCGGACCGAAUUUAAGAUUCAGUGAUUCUAGCAGAAAGGUUUGGGAAAGCCUGCCGGAGAGGGUGAAAGCCCCGUAAGCGAAAGGAGAGCUGACUGAGCGGAAUCCAGAGUACAUCGAGACACGAGAAACCUUGAUGGAAUGAGCGGGGACCACCCCGUAAGCCUAAAUACUACUUAGUGACCGAUAGCGCAUAGUACUGUGAAGGAAAGGUGAAAAGGACCCCGGGAGGGGAGUGAAAGAGAACCUGAAACCCUGUGUCUACAAGCUGUGGGACCUCUUUAUAUGAGGGACUGCGUACUUUUUGUAGAACGGUCCGGCGAGUUGUGCGUACUGGCGAGGUUAAGGACUUAAGGUCUGGAGCCGAAGUGAAAGCAAGCGUUAAUAGCGCGUCAAGUCAGUGAGUGCAGACCCGAAACCGGGUGACCUAUCCAUGUCCAGGUUGAAGCUUCCGUAAGAGGAAGUGGAGGACCGAACCCACAUCCGUUGAAAAGGGUGGGGAUGAGGUGUGGAUAGCGGAGAAAUUCCAAUCGAACCCGGAGAUAGCUGGUUCUCCUCGAAAUAGCUUUAGGGCUAGCCUCGUAUUAGUCUAGUGGAGGUAGAGCACUGAAUUUCCUAGGGGGCGUCAAAGCUUACCGAAGAAUAUCAAACUCCGAAUGCCAGCCAGAUGAUGACCGGGAGUCAGACUGCACGAGAUAAGUUGGGUAGUCAAAAGGGAAAGAGCCCAGACCUGCAGCUAAGGUCCCAAAAUGUGUGUUAAGUGGAAAAGGAUGUGGGAUUUCGAAGACAACUAGGAUGUUGGCUCAGAAGCAGCCAUACAUUCAAAGAGUGCGUAAUAGCUCACUAGUCGAGAGGUCCUGCGCCGAAAAUGUCCGGGGCUGAAACACAACACCGAAGCUUAGGAAUGUAGAAAUACAUUGGUAGAGGAGCAUUCUUAAAGGAAUGAAGCAGUACCGGUAAGGAGCUGUGGACUUUUAAGAAGAGAGAAUGCCGGAAUGAGUAGCGAGAUGGAGGUGGGAAUCCUCCAGGCCGAAUAUCUAAGGUUUCCAGAGUAAAGCUGAUCUGCUCUGGGUAAGUCGGGACCUAAGGCGAGGUCGAAAGACGUAGUCGAUGGAUAACAGGUUGAAAUUCCUGUACCGCAUAUAAACAGAACUGUGGGGACACAGACAGGGAAUGGAAUCCGGGAGUGGAUAUCCCGGUGCAAGCGAGGUAGGAGUGCUGUUGGCAAAUCCGCAGCACGAUCUGAAGACGUGACGCGUACCGAACAUAAGUAGAGAAGUCCAGGCCCCUGGCUGUCAAGAAAAGCCGCUAUUGUUUUAUAUGUGCCCGUACCGCAAACCGACACAGGUGGAUGAGGAGAGAAUCCUAAGGCCGACGGGAGAAGUAUUGUUAAGGAACUCGGCAAAAUGACUCCGUAACUUCGGGAGAAGGAGUGCCAUGAGAGUGGCCGCAGAGAAAUGGCCCAAGCAACUGUUUAGCAAAAACACAGGUCUAUGCAAAACCGCAAGGUGAAGUAUAUGGGCUGACGCCUGCCCGGUGCUGGAAGGUUAAGGGGAGAGGUUAGCGCAAGCGAAGCUUUGAACUUAAGCCCCAGUAAACGGCGGCCGUAACUAUAACGGUCCUAAGGUAGCGAAAUUCCUUGUCGGGUAAGUUCCGACCCGCACGAAAGGCGUAAUGAUUUGAGCGCUGUCUCGACAAUGCAUCCGGUGAAAUUGAAGUACCAGUGAAGAUGCUGGUUACCUGCGCCAGGACGGAAAGACCCCAUGGAGCUUUACUCCA